AACGCACCUUGCGCUCUUGGGUAAUCCCAAGAGCAUGCCUGUUUGAGUGUCAUGAAUCUCUCACAAAGCAAGUUUUUUAACAAAAGCUUUUGCGGCGUGGAUCUGAGCGUUUGCCUGCGAUAAGCCUGGGCUCGCUUGAAAUGGAGUAGCGAGUUUGUAUGAAUGCAAACCUUGCCGUUCAUCGUUAUGGUUUCCUUCGAUGAGUAAGCGGCUUGGUGGAACGUUUAUAAUAGAAGACUUGCUUCCAAUCGCGUUGUAAGGACGCAACUUUUUAUUUCAUCUGGCCUCAAAUCAGGUAGGACUACCCGCUGAACUUAA
This 318-nucleotide unclassified non-coding RNA is filed under the name uncultured Exobasidiomycetes. RNAcentral's name for it is "sequence contains 5.8S rRNA gene, ITS2, 28S rRNA gene". The stretch from base 1 to 52 matches the Rfam family "5.8S ribosomal RNA", at positions 103 to 154 of the family's 154-position model. Lineage: Eukaryota; Fungi; Basidiomycota; Exobasidiomycetes. The record is from RNAcentral.